AAAUUCAAAGAAAAGGGUUAAAAGCGACUGGGUGUUGGGGAGCAGCUUUUGGGAGCGUCCUUGAGCAAAGCGCCACGCCCCGCGAGGGUAAGCGAUCUACGCCCUACCCCACCGGAGAGCUUCUGGGCGCGUCCCCUUCUCCGGGAGACCUAAGGAGGGCAACCACCGCUCCCAAUCUCCCUUGGCGGCGAGAACUGGAGGGCCCAGUUCUGGUGAUGAUUUCACUUUUGACAGAAGCUGUCCCUCAAAAGCAAACAUGCAAUAGAAGAAACAGAUCUCAAUGCCAUCCAUCUGCAGUUGUGACAAGCAAAAAAGUCUCCAGACAUGGCCAAAUGUCCCCUGGGGGGCAAAAUCACCCCCAAUUGAGAACUACUGCUCUAAACUAUGGAGUCUCACUCUGUCACCCAGGAUGGAGUACAGUGGCGUGAUCUCGGCUCACUGCAAGCUCCGCCUCCUGGGUUCAUGCCAUUCUCCUGCCUUAGCCUCCCGAGUAGCUGGGACUACAGGCGCCUGCCACCACGCCCGGCUAAUUUUUGUAUUUUUAGUAGAGACAGGGUUUCACCGCAUUAGCCAGGAUGGUCUCGAUCUCCUGACCUCGUGAUCCGCCCGCCUCAGCCUCCCAAAGUGCUGGGAUUACAGGCGUGAGUCACUGUGCCCAGCCAAGUUUAGUAUUUUUUGUAGAGACAGAGUUUCACCAUGUUGGCCAGGCUGGUCUUGCACUCAUGGCCUCAAGUGAUCCACCUGCCUCGGCCUCCGAAAGUGCUGGGAUUACAGGCGUAAGCCACUGUGCCUGGCCUUAAAUGGGUAAAUUUCAUAUGGUAUAUGAAUUAUAUUUCACUAAAACUUUAAGAAAACAUUAUACAGUACUGUUCAAAUUUUAAGUGGUCCAAUUUAAAUGCACUAUUGUAUACAAUUCUAUGUAAUGUCCUUACCAUGGUAUAUGUUAACUAUAAAUAUCUAUGCCCCUACCCUUAGUAUCAAAGCAUAUAUUAUAUGCCAGUGAGCCAAGCCCCACAUGUCUGUGAAAUGUGGUCUUCUAGCCAUAGAAGUAGCUUGUGCUCCUAGGGUAUUCCUUGAGGCUCUGUAUGAAGAAUGUCCAUUUGUUUGAGUCCCUAACCUACAGAAUAUUCCUGACCAUGGAAAUGUGAUAGAUAGGAGUAAGCACAUGGACCAAAAGGCCUGGAGGCUCAUCAUUUAAGGUACAAGCCAAUUAUGUAGUCUUUGAAAGAAUGCUUUGAAAUUCAGCUUGCUUGAUUCAAUUCCCAAUAUUUUCAUUUGUAUUAAAAGAUUUGGCCCUUACAGGUUAAAAACAAUGUCAGUGUAACCAAGUGACAUUCAAAUUUUGGCUCCCAACAUGUGAUAUGACAUCACUUCAUGUGAAAAUAGCGAAGCUCCAAACAUUUUCUUUCAGUCACCUUAUUAAGCUCGCUGAGCCCUGACAGCCUAAUGAAAGGCUAAGGGGGAAGAAAAUGUCCCAACUUCUACACUGUUGAAGAUGGGCUAAUGAGAGGUUAGCUUGCAAGAAUCAUUCUUUCUUGGCAUCCUGCUUCUGACUGCUUGGCUUUCAGCUUAUACCCAGCAUGAAAAUUUAAUUUCCUCGCAGUUGAAGGUAGUUUAAAGCUUAUUACUCACAUGCUAAAAUGUUGAUGUAUCUGUUUUUGUGCUUGUUUUCUGGAUGAUUGGAAUGCUCUGCAGUGAUGUUCAUAUCAGCAGUACAGCGCUGGACUUCCUAGUGAAGAAAACAGCAAGAUUAUAGACACAGUUUAGAAACAAAGGAACACCAUAUACAUUUAAAGGCAUAAAGUAUUUACUCACUCCCUGGCCACAGCCACCGUUACCUUCUCAAUCCCAACUUCGGAUAUAAUUAUUGAUAUAUUUAUAACGAGUUUAUGAAGAAUGUGAAAAAGGUAUAAAGAUUUCAUUAUUUACUAUUUCAUCAAUCAUCUACUUUUUUCUAGUUUUUGACCUAGUCCCUGAGAUGUAAAACAAUAUCUCUUUUUGAAUACAUCAUAGUCUAUGGGUGAGAAAAAUAUUCAAAAAGAUAGUCAAACAUGAUGAAUACAAAAGAGGCCUGAGAAAGCUCUGAUGGGAGCACAGAACAGAGGAAGGCUUUAGACAGGUGAAAAAAUUUACCUAAGUCUUAAAGGAAGAAAGGGAAUUUCUAAGAAGUAUAAUCUCUACCAUGAUUUGCAAUAUGCUUACAGGCCUUAUAGCCUCAUUUUAUAAUUGUGAGGGUGCAUUGACUCUAAAGACUCAGUGCUGAAAUAACCCUAAUAACAGCCCAACUAAUGGUCAUAUCUCAUAUAUACAGUCUUGACAAAUUAUUUGUGAACUCUAGUAUUUUAAAAGUUAUCCUUCUUUGGAAAAAUAGCAGUAGCAGAAAUAACACUCUUAUCCUACCUUGGCCGUGGAUUUAAACGUCAUCCAUUAGCCUAAUACAACGUUGCUGAAAAGCCAAAUUUUUCUACACUAUAUGCUUCAAACCCAAGAAAGUACUGGAGCUGACUAAUAAGGGAAGUCAUUAGCAGUACACAGCUGCUACAAAGAGCCUGAACAAAGUAACACAAAAUUAUCAGGAGAAAUGUUUUACACAGAACAGAUGUAGCAGAGUUUAGAAGCAUGCAGACUUUUUUUUUCCACAAAGGAGUUGCCUAGUAAUUAUGCAUGUUUUCCAUAGUAUU
Molecule: long non-coding RNA, 2681 nt
Filed under: Homo sapiens (human)
Lineage: Eukaryota; Metazoa; Chordata; Mammalia; Primates; Hominidae
Description: PTPRG antisense RNA 1
Source: RNAcentral